GCUUGAGUAGCUCAGUGGUAGUAGCGGUGGACUGUUAAUCCAUGUGUCGAUGGUUCGAUCCCAUCCUCAAGCGCCA
Molecule: transfer RNA, 76 nt
Filed under: Aeromonas veronii
Lineage: Bacteria; Pseudomonadati; Pseudomonadota; Gammaproteobacteria; Aeromonadales; Aeromonadaceae
Also listed under: 1 other name
Description: tRNA-Asn
Rfam family: tRNA
About the family: Transfer RNA (tRNA) molecules are approximately 80 nucleotides in length. Their secondary structure includes four short double-helical elements and three loops (D, anti-codon, and T loops).
Source: RNAcentral